GGGCAGAUGCUAGAGCGGCCAAUUAGGGCGGACUGUAACUCCGCUGGUGUAAUGCCUACGCAGGUUCGAAUCCUGCUCUGCCCACCA
This 87-nucleotide transfer RNA is filed under the name Herpetosiphonaceae bacterium. RNAcentral's name for it is "tRNA-Tyr". It matches the Rfam family "tRNA". From Rfam's summary of the family: Transfer RNA (tRNA) molecules are approximately 80 nucleotides in length. Their secondary structure includes four short double-helical elements and three loops (D, anti-codon, and T loops). Further hydrogen bonds mediate the characteristic L-shaped molecular structure. tRNAs have two regions of fundamental functional importance: the anti-codon, which is responsible for specific mRNA codon recognition, and the 3' end, to which the tRNAs corresponding amino acid is attached (by aminoacyl-tRNA synthetases). tRNAs cope with the degeneracy of the genetic code in two manners: having more than one tRNA (with a specific anti-codon) for a particular amino acid; and 'wobble' base-pairing, i.e. permitting non-standard base-pairing at the 3rd anti-codon position. The record is from RNAcentral. Lineage: Bacteria; Bacillati; Chloroflexota; Chloroflexia; Herpetosiphonales; Herpetosiphonaceae.